UACGGAGGGUGCAAGCGUUAAUCGGAAUUACUGGGCGUAAAGCGCACGCAGGCGGUUUGAUAAGUCAGAUGUGAAAUCCCCGGGCUCAACCGGGGAACUGCAUUUGAUACUGGCAGGCUUGAGUCCCGGAGAGGGGGGUGGAAUUCCCGGUGUAGCGGUGAAAUGCGUAGAGAUCUGGAGGAAUACCGGUGGCGAAGGCGACCCCCUGGACGAGGACUGACGCUCAGGUGCGAAAGCGUGGGGAGCAAACAGG
This 253-nucleotide ribosomal RNA is filed under the name uncultured bacterium. Its description in RNAcentral is "partial 16S ribosomal RNA". It matches the Rfam family "Bacterial small subunit ribosomal RNA", at positions 524 to 776 of the family's 1533-position model. The record is from RNAcentral.